RNAcentral lists this ribosomal RNA (440 nucleotides) under uncultured bacterium. RNAcentral's name for it is "partial 16S ribosomal RNA". It matches the Rfam family "Bacterial small subunit ribosomal RNA", at positions 338 to 795 of the family's 1533-position model. The record is from RNAcentral.
CCUACGGGAGGCAGCAGUGGGGAAUAUUGCACAAUGGGGGAAACCCUGAUGCAGCGACGCCGCGUGAGUGAAGAAGUAAUUCGUUAUGUAAAGCUCUAUCAGCAGGGAAGAAACUGACGGUACCUGAGUAAGAAGCCCCGGCUAACUACGUGCCAGCAGCCGCGGUACUACGUAGGGGGCAAGCGUUAUCCGGAUUUACUGGGUGUAAAGGGAGCGUAGACGGCAGUGCAAGUCUGGAGUGAAAGGCGGGGGCUCAACCCCCGGACUGCUCUGGAAACUGUACGGCUGGAGUGCAGGAGAGGUAAGUGGAAUUCCUAGUGUAGCGGUGAAAUGCGUAGAUAUUAGGAGGAACACCAGUGGCGAAGGCGGCUUACUGGACUGUAACUGACGUUGAGGCUCGAAAGCGUGGGGAGCAAACAGGAUUAGAUACCCUAGUAGUC